UGGGGAAUAUUGGGCAAUGGGCGCAAGCCUGACCCAGCAACGCCGCGUGAGGGAAGAAGGCUUUCGGGUUGUAAACCUCUGUCCUUGGUGACGAAAAAAAUGACGGUAGCCAAGGAGGAAGCCCCGGCUACCUACGUGCCAGCAGCCGCGGUAAUACGUAGGGGGCGAGCGUUGUCCGGAAUUACUGGGCGUAAAGGGUGCGUAGGUGGCCUUUUAAGUUGGAUGUGAAAUCCCCGAGCUUAACUUGGGUGGUGCGUCUAAUACUGGAGGGCUAGAGUGCAGGAGAGGAAAGCGGAAUUCCUAGUGGAGCGGUGAAAUGCGUAGAUAUUAGGAGGAACACCAGUGGCGAAGGCGGCUUUCUGGACUGUAACUGACACUGAGGCGCGAAAGCGUGGGGAGCAAACA
Molecule: ribosomal RNA, 405 nt
Filed under: uncultured prokaryote
Description: bacterial SSU rRNA
Rfam family: Bacterial small subunit ribosomal RNA
Source: RNAcentral